Takifugu rubripes (torafugu) is the source of this 2689-nucleotide long non-coding RNA. Lineage: Eukaryota; Metazoa; Chordata; Actinopteri; Tetraodontiformes; Tetraodontidae. The record is from Ensembl.
UAGCUGGCUGUUAGCUGGUAGUUAGUUAGCUCGCAGUUAGCUGGUAGUUAGCUGGCUGUUAGCUGGUAGUUAGUUAGCUGGCUGUUAGCUGGUAGUUAGCUAGCUGGCUGUUAGCUGGUAGUUAGCUAGCAUUAAUGGGUUUCAGUUCUCUUCCAGCUUGUGCUGACGGCUCCUCUGAUCCAUCUUGUUCUCGCUCGGUUCCUCACUCAGACGACGGAUCAGCCGAUCUGGUCCGAGUCCGUCUGGGUCAGUUCUGUCCUGGUCCUGGUCCUGGUCCACCCUGUGAAAUGGAUUCUGGGUGUUUUUCUCUGUGGAAGAUGAUGAUUAAAGCCAUUAAUGAACUCACUGUCCUGACCUCCAAACAAGGCUGGUUCUGGUGCUGGUUCUGGUUCUGGUUCCUGGCAGUGAAGGUCAGGUCGGCCCUGGAUCCUUACCGACCUUCUGCUUCUUCUACUGUUGCUACCGUCAAACAGCCUUCUGGGCAGCAGGUCUGUGCUGCAGGUCUGUGCUGCUCCAGCCCGGAGCUGCAGGUCUGUGCUGCAGGUCUGUGCUGCUCCAGCCCGGAGCUGCAGGUCUGUGCUGCUCCAGCCCGGAGCUGCAGGUCUGUGCUGCAGGUCUUCUCAUCUUGUCGGUGCUGCUCUCCAACACCAGAUGUGAACCGUCUGUACUUCUGCUGCCCGGGUCAACAACACAACCUGUUGCUGUCUGCUGUAUUUCAAUAAAGCCGCCUGUCAAAGGUCAAAGGUCGUCUGUGCUUCCCUGAGUCUGUCUGUUGCUCCUCGGCCGACCAGCUUCCUGUUCCCGUGAGCGACGUGGGUGCAGCUAAAUGGACCCGGGUCGACCCGCAGGUCCGUUCUGGGUCCUCUGGUUCUGGAUCUGGAUCAGAACGGAUCCUUUAUCCGUCCAUGAGCAGGUCAAAGGUCAGCCAGGGCCACAUGGAGCCCCUGGGCUUCAGUCAUGUGUCUGUUACCACGGUAACAUGAAAGCAUUCACCUGCAUGACUUCAAACCUGCUGCCCCUCACACACACACACAGAAACACACACACAGAUACACACACAGAAACACACACUCACACAUCUUUAUUUUGUUCAUUUUCACACUGCAUCUCUUUCGCACACAGUUUUACACAUUUCUCAUUGUCACAUUAUUUUCCCUCUAACACACACACACACACACACACUCUCACACACACACAGAUGUGUGUCUCUCCUCUAAACAUCCUCGUCUUCAUCAACCCCCUCGAGCCCACCAGCAUCUGCUGUGUGUGUGUGUGAGAGUGUGUGUGUGUGUGUGAGAGUGUGUGUGAGAGUGUGUGUGCGUGUGUGUGUGUGUGAGUGUGUGGCGUCCUUUCCCUGAGAACCCUGGUCCCCCAGAGAACCCUGGUCCCCCUGAGAACCCUGGUCCCCUUGAGAACCCUGGUCCCCCUGAGAACCCUGGUCCGACUGCAGUGGUGCUGACUGACGGUGCUGCUCAUCAGAACAUCUUGGGUCGCCUCCUCACAGACGUUCCUCCAGAACCGUCCACACGUUGCUCCGUCUCCUGAUCGUCUCGCGUGUCUCCAGGCUGUGGAUCUUCUGAUCUCUGAACAAGCAGCCUGGAGCAGCACCCGUCCUCAAACAGUCCUCGGAUCACAUGAGAACGCGGUUCCUCCUCCUGCCCCCCCACCGGAGCUCCGCAGUGUCCCAGUAGAACCGGUCCAGUUACAGCUAGCAUUAAGCUAAGAGAGCGCCGUGAGUACCUGUUGUCAUAGAAACGAUACAGAAUGCAGCUCAGGGUGCUUUUGGUCCUGCUGUGGUCCUGCUGUGGUUCUGUGGUCCUGCUGUGGUCCUGCUGUGGUUCUGUGGUCCUGCUGUGGUUCUGCUGUGGUUCUGUGGUCCUGCUGUGGUCCUGCUGUGGUUCUGAGGACAUGAGCCGCUCCUCUGACCCACGAGGCCUCUGGGAAAUACGAGUCAUGUGACGACGGCGAUGUCGUGCAACGUGCACAGACACGAGCGCAGCCGCGUGCACGUGCCUGGAGGCUCUUUGUUAGCUCAUCGGCUCCAAACCCACAGAGGCCUCCGGCUCCUCUGGAACCGAGCGCAGAACAAAGAGCCGCUGAUGUUCCGCAGAUGUGAUCUCGGAUCAGAACCAAAGAGCCGGAACUUCCCUCACGAAUGUUGGAGGACGGCGAGGGGGCGUCGCCCAAAACCACAAGCGGGCAACAUCAAAGCAGCUCUGCCGCAGCGGCGGCUCAAGCUAAUGCUGCCACUUUAACGCUAACGUCAACGGUUAGCGUCCUUUGAUCUACAUUCGACAGCUGACAAAAACAGCAACAUCAAAGCGACGUAUGAAAGGUGUCUUCAAGCGUGAACAUGUGACAGACUCGCUAACCUGCCGAAUGCUUCAUUCUGAGACUCUUUAGUCAGACACGAGAUAACGGACGCUUCAGUGACAAUAUGCACGCUAAUUAGCAUUGGUGCUAACGUAUCGUUAAAAGGGCUUUCGUGUCACAAGUUUUGCAGCUCAGGUUUUCUUAGAAACCCCUUUGAUCUAGCGAAGGAGCAGGAAAAGCUGGGUUAGCUUCCCGCUCACGGUCGGAGAAACAAACUCAGAAGCUGCAGUUUACAAGUAUGAAGUGACGACGACCGAAGAUUUACAGGAAUAACUCAGGCGCGAUCAAAGCUAGGCUAGGCUAGGCUAAACCCGAG